This 468-nucleotide ribosomal RNA is filed under the name uncultured bacterium. RNAcentral describes it as "partial 16S ribosomal RNA". It matches the Rfam family "Bacterial small subunit ribosomal RNA", at positions 28 to 507 of the family's 1533-position model. The record is from RNAcentral.
GACAAACGCUGGCGGCGUGCUUAACACAUGCAAGUCGAACGGAAAGGCCCUGCGUUUGUGCUGUUCUCGAUUGCCGAACGCGUGAGUAUCACGUGUGUAUCCUGCCCUUGUCUUUGGGGGAACUUCAGGAAACUGGGGCUAAUAUCGGAUAGGAGCUCCUGCUCCAUGGGGGGGGUUGGAAAGUUUCGGCGGUUGGGGAUGGACUCGCGGCUUACCAGCUUGUUGGUGGGGUAGUGGUUGACCAAGGCUUUGACGGGUAGCCGGCCUGAGAGGGUGACCGGCGACCUUGGGACUGAGGGACGGCCCAGACAGGUACGGGAGGCAAAAGGGGGGAAUAUUGCACAAUGGGCGGAAGCCGGAUGAAGCAGCGCUGCGGGCGGGAAGACGGUCUUCUGGGUGUAAACCGCUUGCGCCUGUGACGAAGCGUGUGUGACGGUAACGGAUAAAGAAGCACCGGCUAACUACGUG